This 74-nucleotide transfer RNA is filed under the name Ovis aries (sheep). It matches the Rfam family "tRNA". Rfam says of the family: Transfer RNA (tRNA) molecules are approximately 80 nucleotides in length. Their secondary structure includes four short double-helical elements and three loops (D, anti-codon, and T loops). The record is from Rfam by way of RNAcentral. Lineage: Eukaryota; Metazoa; Chordata; Mammalia; Artiodactyla; Bovidae.
UCCCUGGAAGUCCAGUGGUUAAGACUCUGCACUUUCAAUGCAGAGGACAUGGGGUUUGAUCUCUUUUUGGGGAA